This 320-nucleotide unclassified non-coding RNA is filed under the name plant metagenome. RNAcentral describes it as "partial contains 5.8S ribosomal RNA, internal transcribed spacer 2, and large subunit ribosomal RNA". The stretch from base 1 to 105 matches the Rfam family "5.8S ribosomal RNA", at positions 50 to 154 of the family's 154-position model. The record is from RNAcentral.
GAAAUGCGAUAAGUAAUGUGAAUUGCAGAAUUCAGUGAAUCAUCGAAUCUUUGAACGCACAUUGCGCCCGCCAGUAUUCUGGCGGGCAUGCCUGUUCGAGCGUCAUUACAACCCUCAGGCCCCCGGGCCUGGCGUUGGGGAUCGGCGGAAGCCCCCUGCGGGCACAACGCCGUCCCCCAAAUACAGUGGCGGUCCCGCCGCAGCUUCCAUUGCGUAGUAGCUAACACCUCUCAACUGGAGAGCGGCGCGGCCACGCCGUAAAACACCCAACUUCUGAAUGUUGACCUCGAAUCAGGUAGGAAUACCCGCUGAACUUAAGC